UCAGACGAUGCGUCAUGCAUAUCAAUAAGCGGAGGAAAAGAAACUAACAAGGAUUCCCCUAGUAACGGCGAGUGAAGCGGGAAGAGCUCAAAUUUGAAAUCUUAAAGGGUUUCCCUUUACGAAUUGUAGUUUAAAGAAGUGUUUUCUGUUGAGGUUUUGGUAAAAGUUCUUUGGAAUAGGACAUCAUAGAGGGUGAGAAUCCCGUAUUUGACCUUUACUUUCAACUUUGUGAUACACUUUCAAAGAGUCGGAUUGUUUGGGAAUGCAGUCCAAAAUGGGUGGUAAAUUUCAUCUAAAGCUAAAUAUUGGCGAGAGACCGAUAGCGAACAAGUACCGUGAGGGAAAGAUGAAAAGAACUUUGAAAAGAGAGUUAAACAGUACGUGAAAUUGUCAAAAGGGAAGCGUUUGACACCAGUGUUGUUUUCUGAAAAUCAAUUAAAGAACUGUUUAUGCUAAGCUGUUUAGACUUUAUCAGCUAUACUGUUUAGUUUUGAGCUUUUCUUUAAUGCACUUUUCAGUUAACAAGUCAACAUCAAUUUCUUUUGCUGUAAAAAAGCUUGAGGAAGGUGGCUUGAGAUUCGUCUUAAGUGUUUAUAGCCUCUUGCCUAUGCAGUCGGAGAGAUUGAGGUCUGCAGCGUAGAUCCUUCGGGGCUAAAUGCAUUUGUGCUAAGUUAUAGCAUUUUAUAGACAACUUGUUGACUAUGAUUUGUCUUGUAGCUUACUCGCUUAUGUUAUUUUACCUACGCUUAGGAUGUUGAAUCUGUGCGAGACUAC
This 774-nucleotide ribosomal RNA is filed under the name uncultured Neocallimastigales. RNAcentral's name for it is "partial large subunit ribosomal RNA". It matches the Rfam family "Eukaryotic large subunit ribosomal RNA", at positions 18 to 644 of the family's 3401-position model. The record is from RNAcentral. Lineage: Eukaryota; Fungi; Neocallimastigomycota; Neocallimastigomycetes; Neocallimastigales.